This 253-nucleotide unclassified non-coding RNA is filed under the name plant metagenome. RNAcentral describes it as "partial contains small subunit ribosomal RNA, internal transcribed spacer 1, and 5.8S ribosomal RNA". The record is from RNAcentral.
UUUCCGUAGGUGAACCUGCGGAAGGAUCAUUGACGAGUUAGGGUCUUCUAGGCCCGACCUCCCAACCCUAUGUUUAUUGAACCUCUGUUGCUUCGGCGGACCCGCCUCACGGCCGCCGGAGGACCGCUGCAAGGCGUCCUCUGGCCAGCGUCCGCCGAUGGCCAACCACUUAAACUCUGAAUGAAUCGUGUCAUAUGUCUAAGUCUAUGAUUAAAUUAAAGCAAAACUUUCAACAACGGAUCUCUUGGUUCUG